Paramormyrops kingsleyae is the source of this 7218-nucleotide long non-coding RNA. RefSeq lists it as uncharacterized. The record is from RefSeq and is a predicted model, not a curated record. NCBI's taxonomy places the organism in Eukaryota, Metazoa, Chordata, Actinopteri, Osteoglossiformes, Mormyridae.
GUUAACUGCACGCCCUCGUUUGUUAGCAGGAAAUAUGCAAUAAACGGAAUUUUUACUCAUUCUUUAUAUAUGUGCGUUUUGGGGAGACUGCCGCAGCAGAUAUAUGAAAUUAUGCACUUUUAAAUAACUUUUAGCAAUGUAUUUUUAAUUAAUUAACCAUCUAAAAUGUUCAUAUAAAUCAUUCAUUUGCACGAGUGGUCAGAUAAAUGUGGUCGGCUAAUUAUUGCGUUUUUAAUAGGAGGACAUGUUUGUUUUUGUUUUUAUAAUCAAUAUAAUAUUCUCUACGUUUAGAUCCGAGGAACAAUUACAUUUCAUUUUUGCUUUUUUUCUCAUUUUGAAAUGAAAAUGCUGCGUAUUUAAUUAAUUACAAAAAUUAAUUGAUUUUGUUUAGGACUGCUGUUGGUAUUUUCAUUGAUUUACUCCCUUUUUCACUUUAAUUUAUUUCAAGACAAAGCAAAUUGGCUUUCUGUACACUCACAUACGUAGACGGGAGCAAGAGGCUCCACCUUUGCGACGCAGCGAUUGGUUAUGUAAAUAAAGUCUUUUUUUCCUCCACUAUCUUUAUGCAGUUAUCUACUGUAUAGAUAAUUAAAUCAUCAAUCAAAGGGGCUGGGCUAUUUGAUGCUUUUGUUCAAAGCCAAUCGGCUUUCAGGGAACUGCUGAGUACAGAUGAGAGUAAAGAUGUUCAACAUCUGGAAUUCAGAAAUUUCCAAAGGCUGUAGAUUAUCGCGGGUCCCUGGGGAAACGGUCAAUGAACAACGGGCUGACUUUUGGACUGUCUUCCGUUGAUUAUUGUUCCUUCACGUUUUGCGAGCCGACCCUGGUAGGCGAGAACAGGAGCAUCCUAAAAACAGCAUGCCCACCCCACCACCUGAAAGGUGAUAAUACGCUACUCCUGCGGUCUCAGAGAGUGUGUUUGGGAGGGUGAAAGGAGGACCAUCCUCAGCACCUGGUUCAUUCCUCCAGACACAGUGUUAGUGUGAAGAUCCCGGCACAGGAACCCGAAGAACCCCAAGCAACGUCAGCAGGUAGCAGUGCGCUCACAGCAGUGCGCUCACAGCAGUGCGCUCACAGCAGUGCGCUCACAGCAGUGCGCUCACAGGCCCGCGAUGAAAGGGACCAGGCCACCUUGAGGCUCCUGUCAAAUGACGUCAUGUGAAAAAGCCGGGAAGCAAAUACCACCUCCGGCUGGCGAAGGUGAACGAUCAGGAAAAGAACAGCAAUUCUGAGGGGGAAAACUGAAAAAACAGAAAGAGACACGACGGAACAAGGGAGGGAGGGAGGGAGGGACCAGCGUAGCUUAGAGAGGGGAGACAGGCACGCGCUGCGUCUCCCGGGUAACAAGUCAAUGAUGGGCAGACGAACUGCGGUCGCAUUGAUUAGAGCAUUUUGUUGCAGCCAGUCACAAUUAAGUUUGACUGUGUCAUUCCUGCUGCUUAGGCAGGUUUAUUUUGACAGGGAAUAACAACAGCAGGAACAUGAUUCAGCUCCUGUUCAAAUCUGCCAUGUGGAGGCAAACAGGAACUCAGACGAAGGAAUCGUACGGCGGCAAGGCUCAGCACGCAGACACUCAUAAACAGCCGCUCAGCACACAGAGGCUGACACGCAGACAUUCACACGCAGGCGCACGCAGACGUUUGUCAUGCAGACACUAGCAUGUAGACUCUUGGCACACACACAGAUGCUAGGCACACAGAACCACACACACAGAUGGUCACACGCAGACACUCGACUUGCAGACGCAUACACGCGGCCGCUUGGCACGCACACAGAUGCACAACAUGCAGGCGCACACAGGCAGACACUCACAUGCAGAUGCUUGGCACGCAGACACUAGCCACACCGACGGUCAGUACACAGAUGCUCACACGCAGACACUCGGCACGCAGACGCUCACACACAGAUGCUCACACACACAUUCACACGCAGAUGCUGAGCGUGUCUGACACUGGAUAAGAUGCCACCUCAUAAUUGCACUCAAACACCCGAAACCUGCUAAACCUGCUAGCGCAAAGCUAAAGCACAAGUGGGCUGUUGAGUGGGGAUUAUCCACCAGGCUAUAUGAUAUCAGCUGUGGGGCCAUAUGAUCAAUAAAAUAAAACGUUACCAUCACUGCUUGACUCCGCCCAGAGUCAGAUAAGCGGCAUAGGAUGAGGGCAGACCGGAACAGAGGAUUCUCAGGUGCUCGCCGAUGUCAGGUGACAUUUACCUGCCAGUGCUCUGAUGGCAAGACCCUAAAGCCUUGUGAGACACAUAAACAGAUGCACCCAGGCAGGCAUGAGCCCCAGCAGGGUAAAUCCUCUCGAUGUGUGCAUCCCUGCAUGAGUGUUGAAAGCACACUAUAUCAGCCUCCAUUCCCAAUCCCUACACCUCAAUGUUUAAUUGGAUCCUUCCAUAAGCAGAGAGGCAGUAUUUACACACUUUACACAGCCCCCCAACUGCGUCACAGAGGACUCACAGGGACUCCCCAGUGCCUCGAGUGAGGGUGACAUCAUGCUGUUCAGGGAAAUGGCUGGAGGGUGGGGUUGAAGGGGGCGGGGUCAAUGGGGCAGUUUUGUUUCUUGCAUAUAACAAAUUCAGAUCACCCUACAGUAACCAGUAGAUCAGAUUUGACAUUUUUUCAUCAAUCAGGCCAGGUCAGGUUCCCAAACCAAAGGUUCCCUCGUCACAUGACCCUAUGCUUCUUCCUAAAGGCUCAUCCAGCAUCACGUGACACUCUCCUUCUUCCCAUAGGCUGGGCUCCUGUGAACGAGGAGUAGUCACCUGACCACAUCCACUCCUUACGCUCACAAGCAUGAUUUAAAUUUACUGACCAUAGGGGCACCCCCAGCAAAGUGAGCAUGCCCCCCCCCCCCCAGGUUUAUCAACAAUGACACUCACGCGCAGAGACACAAACACACUAGGCGGACUAGUACUUAUGGCCAGAAGACUGUGAGAUUGACCCUAUGGAAGGGGGGCAAAAAUACUAAACUACUACAGCAAAGUAACUCAAUGCAAAUGUCACAAAUGGAGGUAUCUGUACUUCAUACAGAUGUAUUUACAGGAUAAUCCAAACACAACUUUGUCUUACCUUUUAUUUGAGAGAGAGAAUGUUCUCUAUGAAUGGGGAGUCCUGUAAGGGGGUCGCACUUUGAAAAGUGAUCCUACACCAUGUACAGUGAGAGUCCAAGGGAUCUAUAAAUCAUCCCAUUCCCUCUGCCUCCAUGAAAUUCCUUCCAUUUUAUUUCCGGUGAUGUGAAGCAGAGUUCCUCAUUUUAGCCGCAGCAAGAAGACAGACCCCACAGUUGACUUGCACAACACCAGGGCCCAGGAUGAAUCUGGAGUGUGUGAUAGAUGCAUCAGUUAGUCUUUGGCAAGGUUGGAUAUACAGGUACCUAAACACCCCUCUGAGUCACCUGAUCUCCUAUUCACCUCCCCACCUCUUAUGAACCUUUAACAAAACCGUUUCACCUCCUGAUUUAUUUCAUUUCAUCUUUUAGCUACUCGAGAGCAACAAAUCAGUAAUCAUAGCUGACGGAAAAUGUAUUCAUAAUGAACGCCGUAUUAUUAAAAUCAAACAUUUUGAAUUGCGCUUUUUUUUCGCCAUCACAGUUCUUCUUAACAAUGAGUAAUUCAUUCAAUCAGCGCUGAGGACCAGGGAUGGGAGAGGUUUGAGGGUCCUCGACCCACACAGCAGAGCUUAGACCAUGACCAGGAACUAGCAGUGAUUAACCUCAUGCGUCACGGCAUUAGAGCAGGGAAAUGAUCUGUUUUCAGAGAGCUAAACAAAAAAUGCUCUUCCAUUUCCCAGUGAACAUAACUUAGUCACGCUGUCCUACAACUGACCUGUGUUAAUCGUGAUAUUCUUAUGUAUGAUUUUCAUACACCUCCACCGAAGGUCAAAUAUUUAAAUCUGUCUCAUUCUUCUGUGGUUCUUGUUUGUUCUUUUGCUGUAUUAUUUCACAAAAAUGCUUAUUUCACUACCCUGCACUGGCUGAGCAUUUACGGAGGAGAGUUGAAUGGAUUACAGCAGGAUGUGUGUACUGCAAAGACGUAUGUAACGUGUCUGACAGCCUUUAUCAAAACCAGCAGGUCAGACACAUUCAGUUCAUGGUCUGGGGUUUUCUCUUGCUUACAACCAUCCUCACGAUCAUGGUCUCCAUUGCAGAUCCCUCACCUCUGCUCGAGGUGUCCCAGGGUAGCCUCUGGAGUUGCAACCCUGAUAUUGAUUAAAGACGAAGAGAAUCUGUGCCUUCACCUCCCCUCCUGCUCCCUCUCCUAACAAAUAGGUGCUGGGCUCCUGCAGGCCGUCACGCUAAAUUUAGCUCUGAUCCCAUUCCGGGCUCUUCCACGCGCCCCACAGAUCUCGUGGCUUAUUGUCUGGGCCUCGGAAAUCUGUCGCCGCCGCUCUUGAAAGAGACGUUCUGGCACACGGGCCCUUGCCGGCGUAUUCCAGGGGCGAGGAGCUGCUCCUUCUGUCUUUGGGUUCCCCAGACAGCAGGAUUAGCGCUCCUGCUAAUGCGUUUGCCCUGGACACACUGAGUCAUGCCCUCCGCAUCGUCAGAGAAGCUGAAGACAAGUAGGAGAAUGAGGGAGCCCCCCCACUGAGCAAAGUGGACGAGUACAGUGCUAUCUGUCAGGUUUACAGUUCACAGGACCGAGGAAGAUUGGCCCAAACCUUCCGGAGCGAGGCGAAAGGCAGUCCCACAACACGCGGCUUGCCUGCCCCCACGCCCCCACCUCCCCAGCAUGAGGCUCACCUCCAGGACAGAUCUGGAGGCACCCUGCGUAAGGGCUUCCUGUCAGGUGAUAGGAGAUUCCAGCACUGACCAGUCACACCUUCUGACUGACGGUAACAAAGGCCCACAUUGUGCUAAGCGGCUUUUUACUCUUUGUCUGCCCCCCACCCCCGCCCCCCUACCUCCUUGUAGGAAUAACUGUGGCCUUUUGUUCCUUUAACGGUCUUCUCUGGAGAGAGAAGGAAACGGGGUCAGUCAGGGUCAGUCUGGGUGGGGGGGUGCAGCCUACACAGGAUGAUAGCGCGGGGGACACAGCUAUGUCCAACCUUGGAGACCAUGUCCACGACAGGCCCCCCCUCUGGCUUUAUUGAGAGCCAGAUGCAGGGCCUCCGGAGAACGAACGGUAAGCUGUUGUGCUUUAAGCCUAAUGGGGAAGUUCUACAUGCAGGGGCCUUGACCUGAUUAGUAUAAUUCCCUCCUUUAAUGCACAUCCCACGGGCUUAAGGUAAACCAAAUGUUGCCAUCAGAGAUUACACUCCCUCGCUAGUUAACAUCUACUGCUGGGAGGCAUCAACCGGACCACCACGCACCUGUCUGCGCUGCGUUCAGGACACGUGUACCUGCUUACCUGUCGGGUGGCGCCGUGCCUGGGCAGCCUGCCAGCUGUGGCAGGUGGCGAAAUACCCGCGCAUCCUGAGCAGCCGUCGGCUUUGUCUGAUCCUGGGCUCGGCGGUCUCUUCUAAUCCCAUUCCCGACCAUCCGGGCCCCGUCGAGCCGAGACGGACCAGACGAUGCGGAACUACGGAUAGUGCCCGUGCUUGUAAUGCCCCCGCCGGCGACUUGCUGGCCGCCACAUGGUCUUGGCUUGACAUCUCCAUCACCUACCUGUGUGAAGACCCAGCGUAUGGUUCCCUCUGCUGUGCCGUCCAAUUUUACCUAGGGUGCACUUCACCAAGGUGGUGAAGAUACCAGCCAAGAUCACUCUGAUACAGAACAGCAUGCAACGAGGAGUAGUGGGUGGCUUAGUGGGUUAGACUACUGUGCCUGUGAUCAGAAGGUCACUGGUUCAAAUCCCAGGGUUGGCCAAAGCAUUUCACCGUUGGGUCCCUGAGCAAGGCCCUUAACCCCCAGUUGCUCCAGAGACUGUCUGAUGCUGCCUUAUCAGGGCCACCUGUCCCUUUGGAUAAAAGCUAAGUAUAAAAGAAGAAAUGGGGGGUGGCCACAGAGUCGGUAAUUGAAAGCUUCACAGAGGCCAGCUAUAGUCUCACCGUUAUCCAUAGAUCCCCACACACCUCGUGUACUUUGCUUGAAUAUACCAGCUGGAUUUCAAGCAGGGUAAAGGUUAAUAACACUUGAGUCAGGCUGAUGACCAUUGUCUGGAUAGCAUUAAUUCUGAAGACUGACUUUACUGUAAAUCCCAUUAACUUAGCAAAGGCUAACACUCAAGCUGAGAACCCAUUAGGUCCAAUUUAAGAGUCUCCCAACUAACCUGCUGUCCGCAACCAGAAUCAUUUUGCAGCUAUUAUUAAACUGUUCACUCAUCAGAUUGACUUUUCUCUUAGUUUUUCUGGUAAUUUCUAAAGUAACAAUAAACGUUAAUGGCCGUUGAGCUGAUUAAAAAUGAGGAGUUAAAGAUGCACAGCUGAAUGAGUUUUCAAGAAAUUAUAACAGAUAAUGAAAUUAUUUAAAAAUCAGUUCCUUGAAAUAUACUUACUAAGACCAAAAUGUUCUGAGAUUUGCUUUUGUGAGGAUGUGAGUUCGCUUAAAUGUAAUCUUCUUAAAUGUUAAGCCUUUGUCAUCAAUUCAGCCAAAGCUAUGAUUUUGCUCCAGUGCAUUGUGGGAGAUUUCACAGAGGAGAAGUGCAAGGCAGGUCAUGCUUAACACAUCCAUGUACUGCUUUAUUCUUAAUUUUACUGGAGGUGCGAGCACAUAGGUUAGUCUACAGGGCGUUUCUUUGGGGGUCAGGCAACUCAGAAGAAUAAUUUCACUUUUCGUCACCCAUGGAAGUGCUAUUGUAGACACUACACCAUCUGAUGUUGAUGCUUGUUGGGUUUCUGAAGACCAAGACAUGGAGUUACCGACACAUUCUCUGUACCGACCUUCAGGGAUUUCUCGAAAAGCAUUUUUUGAGACGUGCCAGAUGCAGCACAUUUGGAAAAGUGUUUCGGGUUCCAGGCCACACAGAAAACCUCUAAACACUUAAUGGGUCGUUAUUUCAGCUUUUUCUGCUCUUUCAUUUGCUGAUGAAUACAAAUAAAUGGCCCUUAAUGGUGAAGAAAAAAACUUCUCUUGACUUUCCUUCCACCGUGACAGACCAUGCAGAGGUAGGCGGAGGAAUGGCAGGGUGACAAGCCCCUCUCAAAGCCCCAGCUGUAAUGUCGCCUGUAUACUUAUGUUCUGUUUGACAGUCCUGCAGCUGGGCAGCCAGGCAUUUCACUGCACACUGUACUGCGUAUAUGGUAUAUGUGACAAAUAAAACUUUGAUUAAUUGAUCGUCUAA